ACCGCCAUUAAACCUGAAAGAAGAAAGGGAAGUUAUGGUAGAUACAAAGGUUAACACUUCUCAAACAUCUGCGAUAUGUAAUUUAUUCAGGUUUCAAGUGCCCUCAGUGCCUCUGCUGGACUGUUAGAUACUGUAGAGGAGGCGCGGGAACACUGCAGCAGCUCUUUUACUGGCUGUGCUCUUCCUGGUGUCCCACAAUGCUGUCUGAACAAACCUCAGCUUGUCGGCAAGAUCAGUCUGUGCUUUAGCAGUGGUGCUUUGGCCGCCCUUCGCUGAUUUGAUCCAGUUCCAUCUGAUUGGGUUUGUCCGGGCUGUCUUCUCUUUUUGGUCCAACAGAAACGCUUCAUUUAGUAGCCAUGGUGUCCAGACCUGGAGACCUUCCAGCCCUGGAAGCAGGUCCAGGUGCUUCAGAGGGACUCCUCGGAGGGAUGUCCAUCCCUGUCGGGAUGACCCGUCGAGCUCUCAGCUAUGACGAUAAUCUUGAGCGCCCUAUGUCUCCACCUCCAACCGACAUUAAUAUUAACAACCUGUGGAGGCGACCUGUUAUACCUGAGAGGAAGUUUGCACGACUUGCUGAGGUGCGUGUAUAUUGCUUAUUCUGUG
This is a long non-coding RNA of Sinocyclocheilus grahami, 603 nucleotides long. RefSeq lists it as uncharacterized. Lineage: Eukaryota; Metazoa; Chordata; Actinopteri; Cypriniformes; Cyprinidae. The transcript has 4 exons. The record is from RefSeq and is a predicted model, not a curated record.